This 690-nucleotide ribosomal RNA is filed under the name uncultured bacterium. RNAcentral's name for it is "bacterial SSU rRNA". It matches the Rfam family "Bacterial small subunit ribosomal RNA", at positions 49 to 737 of the family's 1533-position model. The record is from RNAcentral.
UAACUUGCAAGUCGAAUGGUAACGCGGGGGCUUCCCUGGCGACGAGUGGCGAACGGGUGAGGAGCGCUUCGGAACGUGCCCUGAGUGGGGGAUAGCUCGGCGAAAGCCGGAUUAAUACCGCAUUCGACCUACGGGUGAAAGUGGGGGACCGCAAGGUCUCGCGCUAUUGGAGCGGCCGAUGCCCGAUUAGCUAUGUGGUGAGGUAAAGGCUCACCAAGGCAACGAUCCGUGGCUGGUCUGAGAGGACGACCAGCCACACUGGGACUGAAACCCGGCCCAGACUCCUACGGGAGGCAGCAUGGGGAAUUUUGGACAAUGGGGGAAACCCUGAUCCAGCCAUGCCGCCUGCGGGAAGAAGGCCUUCUGGUUGUAAACCGCUUUUGGCUGGAACGAAAUGGUGCGCGCUAAUACCGCGCGCUAAUGGCUGUACCUGUAUAAUAAGCACCGGCUAACUACGUGCCAUCAGCCGCGGUUAUACGUAGGGUGCGAGCGUUUAUCGGAAUUACUGGGCGUAAAACGUACGCAGGCGGCUGUGCAUUACAGAUGUGUAUUCCCCGGGCUCAACCCGGUAACUGCAUUUUGGGACUGCAUAGCUAGAGUCCGUAUGAGGUGGCUGGAAUUCCACGUGUAGCAGUGAAUUGCCUAGAGAUGUGUAGGAACACCGAUGGCGAAGGCAGCUUCCUGGUAUUA